GAUGAACGCUGGCGGCGUGCCUAAUACAUGCAAGUCGAGCGAACGGACGAGAAGCUUGCUUCUCUGAUGUUAGCGGCGGACGGGUGAGUAACACGUGGAUAACCUACCUAUAAGACUGGUAUAACUUCGGGAAACCGGCGCUAAUACCGGAUAAUAUUUUGAACCGCAUGGUUCAAAAGUGAAAGACGGUCUUGGUGUCAGUUGUAGAUGGAUCCGGGCUGCAUCAGCUAGUUGGUAGGUUACCGGCUUACCAAGGCAAUGAGGGAUAGCCGGCCUGAGAGGGUGACCGGCCACAUGGGGAGGGAGAUACGGCCCAGAAUCCUACGGGAGGCAGGAGGGGGGAAUAGUGAACAAUGGGCGGAAGCCUGAUGAAGAAACGCGGGGGGCGGGAUGACGGCCUUCGGGUUGUAAACCGCAGUCGCCUGUGACGAAGCGUGAGUGACGGUAAUGGGUAAAGAAGCACCGGCUAACUACGUG
This 477-nucleotide ribosomal RNA is filed under the name uncultured bacterium. Its description in RNAcentral is "partial 16S ribosomal RNA". It matches the Rfam family "Bacterial small subunit ribosomal RNA", at positions 28 to 507 of the family's 1533-position model. The record is from RNAcentral.